RNAcentral lists this ribosomal RNA (453 nucleotides) under uncultured Porphyromonadaceae bacterium. RNAcentral describes it as "partial 16S ribosomal RNA". It matches the Rfam family "Bacterial small subunit ribosomal RNA", at positions 341 to 792 of the family's 1533-position model. Lineage: Bacteria; Pseudomonadati; Bacteroidota; Bacteroidia; Bacteroidales; Porphyromonadaceae. The record is from RNAcentral.
ACGGAAGGCAGCAGUGAGGAAUAUUGGUCAAUGGGCGGAAGCCUGAACCAGCCAAGUCGCGUGAAGGAUGAAGGUAUUAUGUAUUGUAAACUUCUUUAGCAGUGGAGUAAUAAGGGGAUCGUGAUCCCUGAUGCAAGUACACUGAAAAUAAGGAUCGGCUAACUCCGUGCCAGCAGCCGCGGUAAUACGGAGGAUCCGAGCGUUAUCCGGAUUUAUUGGGUUUAAAGGGUGCGCAGGCGGCCCUGUAAGUCAGCGGUUAAAUCGUGGAGCUCAACUCCAUCCCGCCGUUGAUACUGCAGGGCUUGAUUGCGGUCGAGGUUGGCGGAAUUCGUCGUGUAGCGGUGAAAUGCAUAGAUAUGACGAAGAACACCGAUUGCGUAGGCAGCUGACCAGGCCGUAAAUGACGCUCAUGCACGAAAGUGCGGGGAUCAAACAGGAUUAGAUACCCUGGUA